UGAAACGAGAAGACCACGAGUUAUGAUCCAGAGUACCACGAGACACGUGAAACCUUGUGGGAAGCAGGGAGGACCACCUCCCAAGGCUAAAUACUACCUGAUGACCGAUAGUGAAGCAGUACCGUGAGGGAAAGGUGAAAAGAACCCCGGGAGGGGAGUGAAAUAGAACCUGAAACCAUGUGCCUACAACCGAUCAAAGCACCUUAUGUGUGUGAUGAUGUGCUUUUUGUAGAACGAGCCAACGAGUUACGGUAUGUAGCAAGGUUAAGUACUUAAGGUACGGAGCCGAAGGGAAACCGAGUCUUAAUAGGGCGACUAGUUGCAUGCUGUAGACCCGAAACCGGGUGACCUAUCCAUGGCCAGGUUGAAGCGAGGGUAAAACCUCGUGGAGGACCGAACCACGUUGCUGUUGAAAAAGCAUGGGAUGAGCUGUGGAUAGCGGAGAAAUUCCAAUCGAACUCGGAUAUAGCUGGUUCUCCUCGAAAUAGCUUUAGGGCUAGCGUCGUGAAAUGUGAGUACUGGAGGUAGAGCACUGAAUAGGCUAGGGGGCAUAGCGCUUACCGAACCUUAUCAAACUCCGAAUGCCAGAUACUAUCAGCACGGCAGUCAGACUAUGAAAGAUAAGUUCCAUGGUCAAAAGGGAAACAGCCCAGAUCGUCAGCUAAGGUCCCAAAGUGUAAGUUAAGUGGAAAAGGAUGUGGGAUUUCUAAGACAACUAGGAUGUUGGCUUAGAAGCAGCCACUCAUUUCCUGCGCCGAAAAUGUCCGGGGCUCAAACUUACCACCGAAGCUACGGGUUCAUACUUUGUAUGAGCGGUAGAGGAGCGUCGUAAUCGGGCUGAAGUCGUACCGUAAGGAGCGGUGGACUGAUUACGAGUGAGAAUGUUGGCAUUAGUAGCGAGAUGUAGGUGAGAAUCCUACAGGCCGAAUAUCUAAGGUUUCCUGAGUAAAGUUUGUCUUCUCAGGGUUAGUCGGGACCUAAGGCGAGGCCGAGAGGCGUAGUCGAUGGACAAUUGGUUGAUAUUCCAAUACCACUAUAAUCGUUAUUAUCGAUGGUGUGACGGAGAAGGAUAGGAUGUGCCAGCUAUUGGAUGCUGGUCUAAGCGUUGAGGGAGUUAGAACAGGCAAAUCCGUUCUAACAAUCCUAGGGCGUGAUGGGGAAGGUUCUACGGAACCGAAGUAUCUGAUUUCAUGCUUCCAAGAAAAGCAUCUAGAAAGAGAAGUAGUGCCCGUACCGCAAACCGACACAGGUAGAUGAGGAGAGAAUCCUAAGGCCGGCGGGAGAAGCAUUGUUAAGGAACUCGGCAAAAUGACCCCGUAACUUCGGGAGAAGGGGUGCUGCA
Molecule: ribosomal RNA, 1342 nt
Filed under: Streptococcus thermophilus
Lineage: Bacteria; Bacillati; Bacillota; Bacilli; Lactobacillales; Streptococcaceae
Description: partial 23S ribosomal RNA
Rfam family: Bacterial large subunit ribosomal RNA
Source: RNAcentral